This 521-nucleotide small RNA is filed under the name Pongo abelii (Sumatran orangutan). Its description in RNAcentral is "processed transcript". Lineage: Eukaryota; Metazoa; Chordata; Mammalia; Primates; Hominidae. The record is from RNAcentral.
AAGAUCACCGCCAUUGCAGUCCAGCCUGGGUGACAGAGCAAGACUCCAUCUCAAAAAAAAGACUAAAGAAUGAGAGAAGGGAUAUCAUUGUGCUGUUUUCUCCACAGAGAUCCCAUUUCAUUCUGAAGGCCGGCAUCCCCGUUCCUUAAUGGGCAAGAAUUUCCGCUCCUACCUGCUGGAUCUGCGAAACACUAGUACGCCUUUCAAGGGUGUACGCAAAGCCCUCAUUGAUACCCUUUUGGAUGGCUAUGAGACAGCCCGCUAUGGGACAGGGGUAAGCCAGUUUUUUCUUCAGGGCACUAAAGAGAUCCUUCAGACUGAGAGAUCCUCACUCUUCCUUUCUCUUUCCUAAGGUCUUUGGCCAGAAUGAGUACCUACGCUAUCAGGAGGCCCUGAGUGAGCUGGCCACUGCGGUUAAAGCACGAAUUGGGAGCUCUCAGCGACACCACCAGUCAGCAGCCAAAGACCUAACUCAGUCCCCUGAGGUCUCCCCAACAACCAUUCAGGUGACAUACCUCCCC